RNAcentral lists this microRNA precursor (84 nucleotides) under Rattus norvegicus (Norway rat). RNAcentral's name for it is "microRNA rno-mir-328a precursor". Its record names the gene rno-mir-328a. The stretch from base 1 to 75 matches the Rfam family "mir-328 microRNA precursor family". The record is from miRBase by way of RNAcentral. Lineage: Eukaryota; Metazoa; Chordata; Mammalia; Rodentia; Muridae.
UGGGGCAGGGGGGCAGGAGGGGCUCAGGGAGAAAGCAUCUACAGCCCCUGGCCCUCUCUGCCCUUCCGUCCCCUGUCCCCAAAU